GUGUCUAUUGAAAGAAGAGACGGUUAGCACUACCCUUGACAAGGAUGGAGUACAUAAAAUGGCGAAGGCACACUUUACCACAAUUUUUG
RNAcentral lists this non-coding RNA (89 nucleotides) under Danaus plexippus plexippus. The record is from RNAcentral. Lineage: Eukaryota; Metazoa; Arthropoda; Insecta; Lepidoptera; Nymphalidae.